RNAcentral lists this long non-coding RNA (1322 nucleotides) under Capra hircus (goat). Its description in RNAcentral is "lncRNA (ENSCHIG00010000938.1)". The record is from RNAcentral. Lineage: Eukaryota; Metazoa; Chordata; Mammalia; Artiodactyla; Bovidae.
GGAUUUUCCAGGCAAGAGUGCUGGAGUGGGGUGCCAUCGCCUUCUCCAUGCAUUCCUCUAGCUUCUCUGUAAUUGAUGCUAAUUGAAUUUCAAAGCAAAGGUAGCGCUCUUCCAUUACUAUGGUGAAUUCCAGUCAUUGAAAACUGGCGUUACCUUACACAAGCCCAGCCUUGCCUGUUGCAGUUUGUUUGGAAGUUACAGCUAGGAGCCAGCUCAGGUAAGGGCAAAUAUAAGAAUACUCAAGUGGAUUGCCAUGCCCUCUACCGGGGGAUCUUCCUGACCCAGGGAUAAAACUCGUGUCUCUUACGUCUCCCGCAUUGGCAGACAGAUUUUUUUACCACUAGUGCCACCUUAGAAGCCCAAACAGAUAGAUUAGUGCAUUUUAAACAAAGAAAAGCAAGAAGGCCUCUGGAAAUGGAAAAACCAAAUAGUUUGAUACUUUUGAGAAAAGUUACUAAACACUCUUCAAUUUGCAUGACAACUUAAAAACGCUCAAGCGUUUGCAGUUAUAGACUUAGUAAUUGAUCUAGAUAUCUCUUCUUGCUUCUUCUUUUCUUAUGUUCUGGAGCUGAGAAAAGCAGCAUUUCUAAUUUACAUGUCCAAAUUAGUUUCAACCUACUUAUAUUGAAUGAUAAUAGAUUUCUUUUUCUUAUAAUUAAUGUUGUCUGAAAACAUAAUACAGAUUUAACUUAUCAUUGUAAAGAUCUUAAGAUUUUAAUAUUUUUGCAGAGGCAUAAAUACAGUGUAGCUAUAAUUAUUUCAUUAUGUAUGUAUAAAAAUAGGAUACGGCAAAAAGUACAUGCUUUCCCUCACUGAUUACUCUUAAUGUCUCCCAAAUUUCCUGAUUUACAAUAUUCUCUAAGGAUGUAGAUUUUUCUAAUUGAAGUACAGUAAUUUGCAUAUUUUUAGACCUUGUUGACACAGUUAAUUGAUAUGUCAUUACUUAUAUCAUGCUGAAUAUAAUUUACACUCUUUAUUCACGGCAGACUUACAAUGCUGUCCUUUUGGGGAAGAACUCACAAAGUAGCAUUCUUUGUCUGGCUUUUCUUUUUUGCUUAGCCAGCCUUCGCCCAAGGAAAACCAGAAAGAAUGACGGCCAAUUGGCAGGGUUUUCUGUUCAGCUGCAUAUUAACCAUUAACAUAAUAGUCUAAUAAAUCUUAGCAGUGGUGGUAAGAAUGGACAUUUUUUUUCCUAGCAGUUUGCUAUUUUCAAAAGACUUUUCACCUAUUAUUAUCUCAAUUAAUCCUCACAUAAUCCUUGAAAAAGGGAUUGUUACAUUUCCUUUACUGAUGGGCAAAGAGAGGUUUGGGAGACAUGAAGA